UUAAUUCUUGGCUAUCAGCCGGCAUCCAGCUCUGGUUUCUCAUUUCUACUACCAGGAAAUGUUGCAUUUAUUUGAGGAUUGUUAGAAGGUAGUGGUCGCUCUCUACCUUCUCCCUUCUCCUCAAGCCCUGUCCUCCUUCAUUGAAGACUGUUAUUAUUUAGUUUAUGCGGGUCAUUUCCCUACAUUUUUUACAACGUCCAGCAGCCCGGACACAGUCUAUUUCUCAUUUUAUUGACAGAAAAUUUAUAUAUCGAUCCCCCUACCAACCAAUACUAUCUUUAAAACUACACUGCUGACUCCGUGAGGAAGCGCUGCUAAAGCGCGAAACCGGUCGAGUCCACCUACGCAGCAAGCCAAACCACCGCAGACAUUUCUCUGCCUGCAUUUCCACAACGUGACAGGAUUACUAAUUACAUUCAUGCACCUUAUUCCAAUUAUUUUUGGAAGUGUUCAAUUUUAUUGUUGAUACCUUGUUAUAAUUUAUGUAUAUAUUCCUGUCAAUGUUCAUGGAUAGGCUUGCCUAGAUUAGCCUGUUAGAUGGUUUUUUGUGCUGGAAACGGCAAUACUUUUUCUUCUGUACUAUUAUUUUUUUCUACACAUUAUGAUAUUUUAUAUCUAAAAUAAACAAAUCUAUUUUUUAGAAAAAAUUCUUUUCUUGUAUAUAUAUUUUGACCAACCAAAUCGUGCCUAAAAAGUCCAAAAACUAGCCCCUAGUUCCCUCCUUUAUCAUUUAUACUAGGACGUGGCACCCUCUUUUUACUUUAUAAUAUCCACAUGCACACUACAUGUGAGGAUAUUG
Long non-coding RNA from Rana temporaria (common frog), 799 nucleotides. RefSeq lists it as uncharacterized. NCBI's taxonomy places the organism in Eukaryota, Metazoa, Chordata, Amphibia, Anura, Ranidae. The transcript is spliced from 3 exons. The record is from RefSeq and is a predicted model, not a curated record.